This is a long non-coding RNA of Monodelphis domestica (gray short-tailed opossum), 1265 nucleotides long. RefSeq lists it as uncharacterized. The record is from RefSeq and is a predicted model, not a curated record. NCBI's taxonomy places the organism in Eukaryota, Metazoa, Chordata, Mammalia, Didelphimorphia, Didelphidae.
UAGUCAGAACUUCAGGUCAUGCUGAAGGACCCAUGAUAGCUGGGAGAAAAGGCUACCUAAUGGAUGCACCAUUUGUUUCUCAAUGGAGGACUCCAAUUUGGCCCUGGGAAAUUCCAGGAGGUAGCCACCAUUUGUCAAGAUGCUCAGGUAAAACCCCUAGAGUUUCUCACCCAUAUCUUCCCAGCACCCAUGGAAGAAACUUCAUACUGUUGUAAUGGAUUUUAUCAGGAACAAACCAGGAAGUCAUACAAGGCAAACCAGGAAGUCCUGGAGAGCAAGGAGGAUUCUGGAACAUUGGGGAAGAAAGACUGUUGUUUUUCCCUAACAGUCAAGACAGAGCCCAGAGGGUUUUCAGUCUGAUUAUUCUGGGGUGGACCCAGAGAACCAGUGAUUCCCUCUCCUGUGGGCCUUCCUUGAAAUUCUGCCUAUCUCUGCUGCUGCUGAGGAGUGGACGUUCAACAGAGCUGCUGGUGACUUCUUACUGAGACUUCUGAUUGACUCAAAGAAGGACUCAAGUUGGGCCCCAACCUAGCAGCUCCAAGCCCGAAUCGAGCUGCUGAGUGUCCUACUUAAUCGAGAUGUGCUGUGAACUUGGUACAACAAUAAUCCUUUGUGUGCAUAAACUCAGGGUGAACUCCACUGCUGUAGAUCUGUUACUGUCAAAACCGCAGACCAGAAUCUGGGUCUACUCAGAUCAACCAUGUUAGCUCUGGAUUCCUUCAAGUUGUUCAGGAUCACUUCAUUGCCACUAAUGGAGUCCAUCACAUUCGAUUGUACCACAGUGCAUCAGUCUCUGUGUACACUGUUCUCCUGGUUCUGCUCCUCUCACUCUCCAUCACUUCCUGCAGGUCAUUCCAGUUCACAUGGAAUUCCUCCAGUUAAUUCAUGAAUAGACUUUCAAUCACCAAACAAAACUGACUGUCUUCCUUUCUGAUGCUGGACCAACCUGGAGAAUAGGCUCUUAGAUGCUGGACAAACUCUGUCUUGUCACUAAGCAGAUUUUAUCAUUAUUACAGCUAUACCCUCUUUGUCUUUUCACAACUAUAUGUACCAAGGCUAUAUCUUGGCGUUUUGGGUCACAUUGGGGUAAGAGUCUUUCCCCGUAGUGCUAUAACUUGUCCUUAUGCUUCCACAAAAUAAAACUUUAAAGCACUUUACAAAUAAAAGAUGGGUACUUCAAGUUAUUUUUGUGUCCCACUUGAGUAGAUGGUCUACAGUACCCCUAUAUCCCAAUACCACCCAUGACAAGGGACUGAGGGUCUGUA